This 446-nucleotide ribosomal RNA is filed under the name uncultured bacterium. Its description in RNAcentral is "partial 16S ribosomal RNA". It matches the Rfam family "Bacterial small subunit ribosomal RNA", at positions 338 to 795 of the family's 1533-position model. The record is from RNAcentral.
CCUACGGGGUGCUGCAGUCGAGAAUCAUUCACAAUGGGGGAAACCCUGAUGGUGCGACGCCGCGUGGGGGAAUGAAGGACUUCGGAUUGUAAACCCCUGUCAUGUGGGAGCAAAUUAAAAAGAUAGUACCACAAGAGGAAGAGACGGCUAACGCUGUGCCAGCAGCCGCGUUACUACAGAGGUCUCAAGCGUUGUUCGGAAUCACUGGGCGUAAAGCGUGCGUAUGCUGUUUCGUAAGUCGUGUGUGAAAGGCGCGGGCUCAACCCGCGGACGGCACAUGAUACUGCGAGACUAGAGUAAUGGAGGGGGAACCGGAAUUCUCGGUGUAGCAGUGAAAUGCGUAGAUAUCGAGAGGAACACUCGUGGCGAAGGCGGGUUACUGGACAUUAACUGACGCUGAGGCACGAAGGCCAGGGGAGCGAAAGGGAUUAGAUACCCCAGUAGUC